AAUAACCCCGAAGUUUUAUUUCUUAUUGAAAAUUCUUUUAAAAAAUCCCAACAAAACAAAGCAGCUGAUAUUUACUUAAUCAUCCCAAGUUAGGGAAAAAAAAUUGAAUAAAAAUGUUUUUUAUAGGAUUAAAUUUCCAUAUUUUUUCAGCUCUAAUUAUGAUAAGGUUCUACAAGAAUUAAUUUUAUUCUUUCUUUGUCUCAUCCUUUUUCCAUCCUAGACAAUGAAAAUAGUUUAAUCUAGCAGUUUUUACAUUGUGGUGCGUACUCCAGAGCUGACUUGUAAAACUUUUUCUUUCAGUGGUUUUAUUGUUCAAGAACUGAUGCUUCCUGUUACUUCUCGCCAUGCAUUUUGGUUUUGUGAAUGAGUAUGCUUAGAUAAAAGAAAAAUACUAAUCAAGUAUAUACCUUUUGUACAGCUUUAUGUUAUCAUUAAAUUAAAAUGAUACCAGAACUGCAGAGGUAACAACUCUUCUGAAAGGCUGAGUCAACAGGAAAGAGAACAGUGAGCAGUGAAUAAAAGAAAUCUGGGAUGCCUUCACUUCAGAUAUUCAGUAAGGAAGAGGAAACAGCACAGGCCCUGCAGUGACCUUACUGUUGGCUGAUUCCAGGGAGCCACCUCAUUAUUCUGACUUGAAACUUCUCCAUCUCCAAAAUCAGAGUUACUCCUGUGUGUCUUCACUGGAAGAAUGCACAUCACAGUCCUGCUCU
This 710-nucleotide long non-coding RNA is filed under the name Junco hyemalis (dark-eyed junco). RNAcentral's name for it is "lncRNA (ENSJHYG00000010326.1)". The record is from RNAcentral. Lineage: Eukaryota; Metazoa; Chordata; Aves; Passeriformes; Passerellidae.